Molecule: ribosomal RNA, 586 nt
Filed under: Candida albicans
Lineage: Eukaryota; Fungi; Ascomycota; Pichiomycetes; Serinales; Debaryomycetaceae
Description: LSU rRNA
Rfam family: Eukaryotic large subunit ribosomal RNA
Source: RNAcentral
CCCCUGCAUUGCUCAGUAGCGGCGAGUGAAGCGGCAAAAGCUCAAAUUUGAAAUCUGGCGUCUUUGGCGUCCGAGUUGUAAUUUGAAGAAGGUAUCUUUGGGCCCGGCUCUUGUCUAUGUUCCUUGGAACAGGACGUCACAGAGGGUGAGAAUCCCGUGCGAUGAGAUGACCCGGGUCUGUGUAAAGUUCCUUCGACGAGUCGAGUUGUUUGGGAAUGCAGCUCUAAGUGGGUGGUAAAUUCCAUCUAAAGCUAAAUAUUGGCGAGAGACCGAUAGCGAACAAGUACAGUGAUGGAAAGAUGAAAAGAACUUUGAAAAGAGAGUGAAAAAGUACGUGAAAUUGUUGAAAGGGAAGGGCUUGAGAUCAGACUUGGUAUUUUGCAUGCUGCUCUCUCGGGGGCGGCCGCUGCGGUUUACCGGGCCAGCAUCGGUUUGGAGCGGCAGGAUAAUGGCGGAGGAAUGUGGCACGGCUUCUGCUGUGUGUUAUAGCCUCUGACGAUGCUGCCAGCCUAGACCGAGGACUGCGGUUUUUAACCUAGGAUGUUGGCAUAAUGAUCUUAAGUCGCCCGUCUUGAAACACGGACMA